RNAcentral lists this long non-coding RNA (1644 nucleotides) under Gallus gallus (chicken). RNAcentral's name for it is "lncRNA (ENSGALG00010000195.1)". Lineage: Eukaryota; Metazoa; Chordata; Aves; Galliformes; Phasianidae. The record is from RNAcentral.
CCCCCCCCCCCCCCCCCAUAGGCCCGCCUGACGUGCCCGUGCUGCAACGCGCGCAAGAAGGACGCGGUGCUGACCAAAUGCUUCCACGUCUUCUGCUUCGAGUGCGUCAAGAGCCGCUACGACACCCGCCAGAGGAAGUGCCCCAAAUGCAACGCCGCCUUCGGGGCCCACGACUUCCACCGCGUCUACAUCAGCUGAGCCCCGCGACCCGAACCGCCCCAGAACCCCCCCUUAACCCCCCCAUAACCCCCCCAUAACCACCCCAUAACCCCCCAUAACCCCCCCUUAAGUGACCCACGAGUUGGGGUGGGGGGACGAAGGGGGACCCAUAACCCCCCCAUAACCCCCCCAUAACCCCUCCAUAACCCCCCCCCUGUGAAGCGACCCACGAGUCGGGGUGGGGGUACGAAGGGGGACCCAUAACCCCCACAUAUCCCCCCCAUAACCCCAUAACCCCCCCCCUUAACGACCCACGAGUCGGGGUGGGGGGAUGAAGGGGGACCCAUAACCCCCCCACAACCCCCCCAUAACCCCAUAACCCCCCCAUGAAGCGACCCACGAGUUGGGGUGGGGGGACGAAGGGGGACCCAUAACCCCCCCAUAACCCCCCCCCUUAACGACCCACGAGUUGGGAUGGGGGGAUGAAGGGGGACCCAUAACCCCCCCAUAACCCCCCCAUAACCCCAUAACCCCCCCCUUAAGCGACCCAGGAGUUGGGGUGGGGGGAUGAAGGGGGACCCAUAACCCCCCCGUAACCCUCCCCCAUUACACGACCCACAAGUUGGGAUGGGGGGACGAAGGGGGACCCAUAACCCCCCAUAACCCCAUAACCCCCCCCAUGAAGCGACCCACAAGUUGGGAUGGGGGGAUGAUGGGGGGGUGGGAGAUGAUGGGGGGUGGGGGAUUGGGGGGGGGGAUUGGUUGGGUUGAGGCAAUGGGGGAAGGCCAUAGGGAUCCCUGCUUGUCCCCAUAGCUGCCCCAUAGCUGCCCCAUGGGUGCCCCAUGGCCAACGUUGGGUCAACCCAAUGGGGGAAGGCCAUCAGUCCCAUUGUUUAUCUGUUAAGGAGAGCCCAUAGCAGCCCCUGGUUGUCUUUGAGGUGUCCCCAUAGCACCCAUAGCUGCCCCAUGGCCCUCGUUGGGUCUUGGGUUGGGUUGAGGCAAUGGGGGAAGGCCAUCAGUCCUAUUGUUUGUGUGUUGAUGGAACCCCAUAGUGAUCCCUGGUUGUCCCCAUAGCUGCCCCAUAGCUGCCCUAUAGCAUCUCUCUGUGCCCCAUAGCUGCCCCAUGGCCAACGUUGGGUCAACCCAAUGGGGGAAGGCCAUCAAUCCUAUUGUUUGUGUGUUGAUGAAACCCCAUAGCAACCCCUGGUUGUCCCCAUAGCUGCCCCAUAGCAUCUCUCUGUGCCCCAUAGCAUCCCUGUGUGCCCCACAGCUGCCCCAUGGCCAAUGUUGGGUCGAGUCAAUGGGGGAAGGCCAUCAGUCCUAUUGUUUGUGUGUUGAUGAAACCCCCAUAGCGACCCCUGGUUGUCCCCAUAGCACCCAUGGGUGCCCCCUAGUGCCCCUGUGUGCCCCAUAGCACCCCUGUGUGCCCCACAGGAGCCCCCCCCCCCCCCACCCCCCCCCCAAUAAAGUGCUUUAAUCCGUUUC